Molecule: long non-coding RNA, 998 nt
Organism: Microtus oregoni (creeping vole)
Lineage: Eukaryota; Metazoa; Chordata; Mammalia; Rodentia; Cricetidae
Exons: 3
Source: RefSeq, a predicted model, not a curated record
CCGGGCAGCGUGUGUCCGUGCACAGGCCCACGUCUAGGUAUGCGGGGCCGCCGCCCGGCUGGCGGCAGUCGUCGGGAAGCUUGAUCAAAUGUUCCUGAGGUCGGGGGUCGCAGGCCGGCUGGCCAGGAGCUGGGGAGUCCACACACCCGGGUCAAAGGAGGGUAACUGAGGCAUGGGGGUCCCCGAAGCCUUGCAGCAGAAGAUCACGUGCUGACCUGCCUCUCUCACUUGGGACUCGGGGUGCUUUACCAGGCCCCACCCCUGACCGUCCCUCUUCAGGGCCCGUCCCCUCCUACCUGGACACCUGGACCUCACGCACUUCUGCGCCUCCUGGGGGCUCCCAGGACACUUAUCCCCAGAAGAGCUUUGACAGCUGCGGCGGCGCAGGCGACGGCCUGGCCCGCAGCUCUUGGAGCAGAGACCCCACGCGCCCCAUGCGCCCCAUGCGGCCUCUGCGGAGCAAGGAGGAAGAUAAGGAGCUGUCAGCCCCCUACAGAGGGCUCUCUGGACUAAGCGGAUCCGGUUCCCUGGCAGACACGCACCCUGACUGCAGAACACACCCCGGCUCCCUGCCGGGUGCACUCCUGGUUAGCCCUGCUGUUCCCCAUCAGUCUUGAAUAUGACGGGGGGGCUCAAGCCAUCCCCCAGCACUGAGCUAUUCGGGAUGGAUUGUUGGGGUCCUGGCACGUCGAUACUCGCCCCCUCAAACCAAUGCCCGCAGGGUGUAGGUGUGUCUCAUCGAAGCCACGCCCACACGACCCCACCUCGGUGGAAACGCAGGCCCAGCUCUCACCGGAUCUUGCUCCUCAGGGUCACACUUUCAUUGUCCCCGCCCGCCCAGGACUACCUUACCCACUGGGCAGCGGAAGCGCACGUGGUAGUUGGAGCAGCGGCGGCCUCGGGGCUGCUCCCAAUUGAGACACCAGAAACCGCGUGCCGGGUUGGCGUGCACGCGCUCGCCCAUGGAUGCCGGUAGCGCCCAGUCUGUGGUGCGCGCC